RNAcentral lists this ribosomal RNA (406 nucleotides) under uncultured bacterium. Its description in RNAcentral is "partial 16S ribosomal RNA". It matches the Rfam family "Bacterial small subunit ribosomal RNA", at positions 29 to 526 of the family's 1533-position model. The record is from RNAcentral.
AUUGAACGCUGGCGGCAGGCCUAACACAUGCAAGUCGAACGAGUGGCGGACGGGUGAGUAAUGUCUGGGAAACUGCCUGAUGGAGGGGGAUAACUACUGGAAACGGUAGCUAAUACCGCAUACCAUCGGAUGAGCCCAGAUGGGCUUAGCUAGUAUGUGGGGGAACGGCUCACCUAGGCGACGAUCCCUAGCUGGUCUGAGAGGAUGACCAGCCACACGGGAACUGAUGCACGGUCCAGACUCCCACGGGAGGCAGCAGUGGGGAAUAUGGCACAAGGGGCGCAAGCCGGAUGCAGCCAUGCCGCGUGUAUGAAGAAGGCCUUCGGGUUGUAAAGUUCUUUCAGCGGGGAGGCGUUACCCGCAGAAGAAGCACCGGCUAACUCCGUGCCAGCAGCCGCGGUAAUUC